GGAAUGAAGUAAGAUAAACGGCUAACAGUAUCAAUAUGGAGGGCAAGUCUGGUGCCAGCAGCCGCGGUAAAACAGCUACCAAUAGCGUAUAUUAAAGUUUGUUGCAGUUAAAAAGCUCGUAGUUAGGAUUUCUGUUAAUAAUUUAUAUAAAAUAUUUUGAUGAAUAUUUAUAUAAUAUUAACAUAAUUCAUAUUACUAUAUAUUUUAGUAUAUGAAAUUUUACUUUGAGAAAAUUAUAGUGCUUAAAGCAGGCAUAUGCCUUGAAUACUCCAGCAUGGAAUAAUAUUAAAGAUUUUUAUCUUUCUUAUUGGUUCUAAGAUAAGAAUAAUGAUUAAUAGGGACAGUUGGGGGCAUUUGUAUUUAACAGUCAGAGGUGAAAUUCUUAGAUUUGUUAAAGACAAACUAAUGCGAAAGCAUUUGCCGAGGAUGUUUUCAUUAAUCAACAACGAAAGUUAGGGGAUCGAAGACGAUCAGAUACCGUCGUAGUCUUAACCAUAAACUAUGCCCACUAGAGGUUGGAGGUUGUUC
This 528-nucleotide ribosomal RNA is filed under the name Cryptosporidium parvum. Its description in RNAcentral is "SSU rRNA". It matches the Rfam family "Eukaryotic small subunit ribosomal RNA", at positions 511 to 1065 of the family's 1831-position model. The record is from RNAcentral. Lineage: Eukaryota; Apicomplexa; Conoidasida; Eucoccidiorida; Cryptosporidiidae.